UACGGGGGGGGCAAGCGUUGUUCGGAAUUACUGGGCGUAAAGGGCUCGUAGGCGGCCAACUAAGUCAGACGUGAAAUCUCUCGGCUUAACCGGGGAACUGCGUCUGAUACUGGAUGGCUGGAGUUUGGGAGAGGGAUGCGGAAUUCCAGGUGUAGCGGUGAAAUGCGUAGAUAUCUGGAGGAACACCGGUGGCGAAGGCGGCAUCCUGGACCAAUACUGACGCUGAGGAACGAAAGCCAGGGGAGCAAACGGG
This 253-nucleotide ribosomal RNA is filed under the name uncultured bacterium. RNAcentral describes it as "partial 16S ribosomal RNA". It matches the Rfam family "Bacterial small subunit ribosomal RNA", at positions 524 to 776 of the family's 1533-position model. The record is from RNAcentral.